AAGUCGUAACAAGGUUUCCGUAGGUGAACCUGCGGAAGGAUCAUUAAAUGAAGCAACCUAGGAGCCUGAGAUAUGGCCACCGGGAACACCUUCCACCCUUUGUUUACUACACUUUGUUGCUUUGGCAGGCCUGCCUUCUAGGCUGCUGGCUCAUGCCGGCUCGUGCCUGCCAGAGGACCCUUAAACUCUGUUUGUCUGUAGCGUCUGAGUACUAUAUAAUAGUUAAAACUUUCAACAACGGAUCUCUUGGUUCUG
This 255-nucleotide unclassified non-coding RNA is filed under the name [Chrysosporium] pseudomerdarium. RNAcentral's name for it is "Chrysosporium pseudomerdarium partial internal transcribed spacer region". The stretch from base 1 to 46 matches the Rfam family "Eukaryotic small subunit ribosomal RNA", at positions 1786 to 1831 of the family's 1831-position model. Lineage: Eukaryota; Fungi; Ascomycota; Leotiomycetes; Thelebolales; Pseudeurotiaceae. The record is from RNAcentral.